GGAAGCAGUAACAGCAGCAGAGGAAGAGGAAGAGGAUGGAUGAUGAACUUUCCCAUUCAGCCAAUCGGCUCUUAAUUAUGUGUACUGUUAUUUGAUACCCCUCCGUCUCAAAAUAAGUGUCUUAAACUUAAUACAACUUUAUACUAGAGCUAGUGUAAAGUUGAGACAGUUAUUUUGGGACGGAGGGAGUAGUAGCUAGGAUGAAGUGUAGUUUGUUUCAUAGCUAGGAGUGAUCCUCUUAAGAUCGUGUGUGGUAGGGUCACCACUAGUGCGAAGUGGUGAGAGCACCUAAUCCAGGUUGCAACCAAACAGCGUGUCCUAUGUGCGCCUAAUGCAAUGCGACCAACCAAACAUCGGGACAAAAUUAGUUCCUUCAUGCAGCUAACCUAUAUGCGGGCAACCAAUCGAUGUGUAGAUGGUGGUUUUGAGGCUGUUUUUCCUCAACCGGGCCCAUCUGAAAAGUCUAUGCAAACACCCCAAAAUUGGUGCAGGCAACCAAACGCACCCUAAUAAUACUAAAGUAAAGAUAUAAAACAUUACCCGGAUUAGUUAGCCAGCCAAAUGGAAGCAUGUCAAGUCUGGCCAGGAUUUUCCUAGUAAUCCGGUGGCCCCGGUCUUAUUUGCAGCAGCCAAGGCACUGUGUGCAAUAUGCAAACUACUAAGAUUUUAUUUACUAGAGAAUAUCAAAUAAAAUCUGAAUACAGAAAUAAGGGGUAUAUAAUGGAUAUAUAGUGAUUAUCUGUUUUGAAAUAAAAACUAAAUACAGAAAUAAGGAGUAUGUGAUGGAUAUAUAGAGAUUAUCUGUUUUGAUUUACCUUGACACAGUAAAAUGUGAACAAAGAUCUUUCCAGUUGUCCCAAUCAUCUCCUGUCAUCCUAUAAGUACAUAUCAACAUGCUCACUGAUGCUUUCAGCUAAUUGUGCAGUGACUUUAGUAGUUCAGUUCCUCCUGAGAUGGAUAGUACUAUUGGGCGAUCAAGCUCUCGCUGGAGCUGCAAUUGAGAAUUAACUUAUUCUGAAGGUGCACCAAUUUCAACGAGACUUGUGUAACUGACUCUAGGAUCUGAAGUUAUUUACCUGAGAAACAGUGAUUACUUCUUCCCGGCUAUAAUCAUUAUCGAAGAUACAGUCAACCUUCACUGCAAGAGUGGUACAUAGUAUGAAACAACCUCUUCAAACUCAAGUUAUGGCAACACUUAGGAAAGGUCAACUAUUCCCAAGUUGGGAGCUCUCUACCAUAUCAUAUUAUCAUCAAGGCUUUUUACAGUGCCCUGGUACUCCAUAUCAUAUUAUCAUCGAGGCUUUUUACAGUACCCUAGUACGUUAGACUUUUGUCUCCCUCAUUUAGGGGUAACUAAUUUUAAUGCAUCAUCUGGGCUUACUUUCUCCUGAUUUACCAAUCAGGCGCAAACGGUUGCUUCCCUCAUAUUGCGUAGUCAUGGCUGCCUCAUCUCCUCCUGCUUUAUCUGCAGCCAGUUCCACAACCAUGAAAACAUGGUGCCUCGGCCGCCGGCGCUGGCCUCCCGAGUCCCGAUCCUCCCUCUUAUUCCAAUCCUUGGACGGGCCAUGCAAAAUAUCCCAUUUCCCCAGUUUUGGCCCACAAAAUCUUCUGUUGUAUGCCCCACCUCGUCGGAACUUCUGUAAAGUCUCCGGUAAUGUAUCAUUCUGAACUUUCAACAACCUUCUGAAAUCUGAAGUGUUGUAAGCCUUACAUUUUUAACAAAGCUUCACAGUAAUUAUGUGCUUGUACAUGGAAACUGCAAUAUUUUAAUGCAUCUUUCAUAAAGCUUGGGUUGAAUUGAUUAGUCGAGUAGUAGUGUGCAUGCUCAUCUUAUCAAUCUUCACCAAAGAAUCCAUGGAAGGGGACUUUCCACUAUGCCAGAAUGCUGCUCUUCGUUGCAGUAAUGUACGGAGUAUCAUCCUGAACCUUCCAGAGCAGCGCUGGCAAAUAAGUUCAGUAUGCUAUUAUACGGCAGUCUGUAGAAUCAAAAUAUAGUCUGUGACACUGGCGUAGCAAUGUAGUAUUAUGAAGUCGGUGUGAUGCUGGAUUCCUGGUCCUUGUGGACAAGAACCUCAAUUGCACUCUCAGUUGCAACUAAGAUCUGCAUCUGCGCAACCCCUUGCAUGGCACUAUUUCUCUAAAUUUGGUUCAUACUGUCCACUUCCUUUCUCAGCAAUCAGUUUCAGAUCCACAUGCUCCUGAUUUGCUUAAACGCAUCACAAGAUUCCCAGAAGUACAAAGUUUGCGUUUUUACUACUCAAGAAUCAAGAUACAUACUUGUAUUUGUUCAGAGUUGGGGAAACAUACAGAAGUGUCUCGAAUAUUCGUGAAGAUACCUACCUAUUCUAGUACUAAUAUCUCCUGCGGGACCUAUUAUUGUGAAAUCGGGCGGUCUCCCAUCUAUGCCAAAAAGAAAAGAGGAGGGAGAGACAUACCGAUCUUGGUCACUGUCUGGUGCUAGAUAUUGCCAAGCCACAUUUGCUAUUCCUUUGCCGUUAAGGGAUGCGCAUUUAUCGACUCCCAAAAAGCAGAGUGAUCACAAUCAUUCAAAAGAAAAGAAAAAAAAGGCGAAAAUACAACCUUUUUUUUUGAAAAGGAGGUUAUCCCCGGCCUCUGCAUCAGAACGAUGCAUGCGGCCACUUUAUUAGAAAGGAAAUAGUUCAAUGAAGUCUCCAAGUGUCAAGAAAUACAACCCUGAACUAGGGAGUGUUGCAUUCUGCGACUCCCUGUGGACAAGAACCUCAACUGUACUCCAGUUGCAACUAAGAACUGAAUCUGUGACUUACAUUCUGGCAACAGCUACAUGGCGCCAUUUUCUAAAUUCGGCAUACUUGAUAUUUCUAUGAUGAUACUAUUCUUUUUACUCGCUUUCAGUUUUGUGGACUAUCGGGAGUACCAAGUUUGCUUUGUAUCGUGUAGAAAGUCGUGACCGACCACCAUUUCAGAGUUGGGGAGUGGAACAGUCUUGAAUUUUCCUGAAGACACCUACAUGUUCUAAUAUUGUCCACAGGCCUACUAUUGUGACAUCGGGCGAUCUCCCGUCUAUCCAUGACAAGAAGAAAAAAAGGAGGGAGAGACAUUGUGAUCUUAGUCAUUGUCUGAUGCUAGAUAUUGCCAAGCCAAAUUUGCUAUUCCUUUGCCGUUAAGAGAUCUACGCAUUUAUCGAUUCACAAAAAAAGCAGAGUCGUCACAUUCAUUCAAAAGAAAAGGCAAAGACACAAUCCGGUAGUACAUUAUCACCCCACCCUGAACUACGGGGCAGCAUCAUCAUCUCUUCUCAGUAACUCGGGGUGUUGGGCUAGCUCGACAGCCACCGUGUUGCAAUCUCCCUGGAUGUAAAGCACGCCUCCUCCUGGAAGUAAAAGCAUAUCCAUGACUGUUCCAGCCACCGAAACGAUCGAUCUGCGUCUUGCCUUGUCCUGAGUUGUAGCUGUCAGGGUAGGCGGAAACCGCGGCGCAGUGCGUGUCCAACGUCAAAGGCUUUUGAAUUCCUCCCUUACACAUGCUCUUGUUUCUGGCGCGGCGCUACUACUGCCAUGGCUUUUCAGUUCCUGAUGAUGCCUGUGGCCUGUGGUUGAUCGCCCAUGGGCGCUCUUGCCUGCUGCCACGCUUACUGUUUCUGGAGCUGCUCGUCUCGAGAGAGGAAAGAGGAGGGGAAGUUUAUCCACAAUUCAACCACCUCUGAUGGAUAACGAAGAGGAACCUUUUGACGGCGGAAAGAGGCAGAGGCCAUAUGGAACUCGCGCCAAUUCGCAUGGUGGACGAGGGAGCCCACCACCGGUCGGCACUGUCUGUCAACAACUUCCGCGAACCGGCCCGGUACGGCGGACGUAGGCGGCGACUUUCCGAGUCACCGCUGCCAACUUUCGCGUCGGAGAAGAAGCCUUUACCCGACUUUUGAGUCGGAACACCACUUCCUUCCCACUGCCUGCUUUUCUUCCUUCCCUUCCAGCAGACGUAAAGGAGCCGAGGACCUACGCACUGGUGGAAUGGAAGCAGCAGGUCUUUAUGCACGAUGGCUACGUCGCCGUAUACUAUUUGCACGCUGGAAUUGUAUUCUCUGAUUUCUCACGUUGAACAUCGUUGUUGCUCGAUCGAUAUAUAGUGUUUGACUCCUGCGCUUUCUUAUUCUUA
Hordeum vulgare subsp. vulgare (domesticated barley) is the source of this 4134-nucleotide long non-coding RNA. RefSeq lists it as uncharacterized. The record is from RefSeq and is a predicted model, not a curated record. NCBI's taxonomy places the organism in Eukaryota, Viridiplantae, Streptophyta, Magnoliopsida, Poales, Poaceae. The transcript has 2 exons.